UUUUUCGCGCUGCUAUCUUAUAGUCAUAUACUAUAGCGUUUGUUUGUAUGCAAUUAAAUAUUCUUUAAUAUCGUUUUUUUGUUAUUAUUACACUAUUGGAAAAUAAAAAAAAAUAUUUUAAAUUUUUUUAAUUGAAUUAUUAAUAAACUAAAACUGGUUUACAUGUAAAAAAAUAAACCAAAAGUAAACCAAACUCAAACCUAAACCUAUUUGCUAACUAAACCUAAUAACAAAACCACGUCGUCUUCAAGCUUCUUAACUCCGCCGCCGUCAACCACCAUUUGCUGUUACGACCAAGUCCUCGUGUCUCUC
Molecule: long non-coding RNA, 312 nt
Filed under: Brassica napus (rape)
Lineage: Eukaryota; Viridiplantae; Streptophyta; Magnoliopsida; Brassicales; Brassicaceae
Description: long non-coding RNA (BNAP_LNC013029)
Source: RNAcentral